This 327-nucleotide ribosomal RNA is filed under the name uncultured eukaryote. RNAcentral describes it as "partial 18S ribosomal RNA". It matches the Rfam family "Eukaryotic small subunit ribosomal RNA", at positions 1470 to 1796 of the family's 1831-position model. The record is from RNAcentral.
CCCUUAGAUGUUCUGGGCCGCACGCGCGCUACACUGACGAAUGCAACGAGCUUAUAACCUUGGCCGAAAGGUCUGGGUAAUCUCCAAAUUUCGUCGUGAUGGGGAUAGAUUAUUGCAAUUAUUAAUCUUCAACGAGGAAUGCCUAGUAAGCGCAAGUCAUCAGCUUGCGUUGAUUACGUCCCUGCCCUUUGUACACACCGCCCGUCGCUCCUACCGAUUGAAUGGUCCGGUGAAGCGCUCGGACCGCGGCCUCUUGACGGGUCUCCGUCGAUUGGCUGUGGGAAGUUCGUUAAACCUUNUNAUUUAGNGGAAGGAGAANUCGUANCA